RNAcentral lists this long non-coding RNA (215 nucleotides) under Fukomys damarensis (Damara mole-rat). Its description in RNAcentral is "lncRNA (ENSFDAG00000028703.1)". The record is from RNAcentral. Lineage: Eukaryota; Metazoa; Chordata; Mammalia; Rodentia; Bathyergidae.
CAGCUGUUUCUGGGAUUCUCUGAAAACCCAAGCUGGGCAGCACCCAUAAGCCAGAAGAGACCCAAGUUUCUGAUACAUUGUCUCUGACUCUGACUGCCUCGUGGAGCAGACCUUCCUGGAGUUUCCCAGGCAGAAAAGAUGAAACUGAGAGAGAGGACAUGAAAGAUGGAUUUGUUGAUCCUGUCCUGAAGUCUUGGCUAUGAAAUAAGAUGGGA